Molecule: long non-coding RNA, 355 nt
Organism: Canis lupus familiaris (dog)
Lineage: Eukaryota; Metazoa; Chordata; Mammalia; Carnivora; Canidae
Exons: 3
Source: RefSeq, a predicted model, not a curated record
GAUUAAUUCUACAAUGGCUGUCUGUAAAAGGACAUUUUUUUCUCUUACUAUCUAUUUUGGCCUUCAAACUUUAAUUUUUAUUUUCUCUGAAGAAUAAUUUUUGCUGCAUUUGAAGGAUCUGUGUAGAUGUAGGCUUGAAGGUUAAAAUUCUAGAGCUGCCACUGCCUAUCUGCCUCCUGCCGUGACCUCUUGAGUCUCCAGGGAGAUCUUAAAGGAUUUUUCACUCAAAAGCAAACUUCCUAUGGGACACCUGGGUGGCUCAUUGGUUGAACGUCUGCCUUUGGCUUAGGUCAUGAUCCUGGGGUCCUGGGAUGGAGUUCUACAUUGGGCUCCCUGCAGGGAGCCUGCUUCUCCC